RNAcentral lists this long non-coding RNA (803 nucleotides) under Phoenix dactylifera (date palm). RNAcentral's name for it is "long non-coding RNA (PDAC_LNC017707)". Lineage: Eukaryota; Viridiplantae; Streptophyta; Magnoliopsida; Arecales; Arecaceae. The record is from RNAcentral.
CAAAAAAUCUGCAAAAGAAAGAAAAAUAUAAGAACAAUAGAAAGUGAACACAAGAUUUAGAAUUGAUCAGAAAGGACAAGUGCCACGCCCCAAACCCACCACUCGGGUCGACCAUAUGACACAGUCACAUAAUUAUUAAAGUAAAACUAGAGAUCAUGUAAGGCCUAAAAAGGUACAAUAUUCAUAAAAAUAUUAAAAAUUAUUAAUGUAUUUAAACCAAACCAACUAAAAUGUACUGAUUGAUUACACCAUUUCAAAUGUUCAUAAGUAAAAGAUAAAUUAACUUUUAACUAUCUAGCAGUCUGACUUCAGAUCAAUCUCACUUCUCGUCUCACCCGACGGAUUCUACAAAUCUAGUGCCUUUGAAAAAGAAAAUAAGUGUAGUAUGAGCUUUUCCAGCCCAGUAAGAACCCAACAGCCGCACCGGUAAUAAUAAGAAAACAAUCUAAGCAACAAAUAAGUGUUAUUUCAUCAUUCAAAAGGCUCAAUAAUCAACGAGUAUAUAUAUAAACCAUUACAUUUACAUAAAUACUUUUUUACACAUUAUAUUACUCACUUUCGUAUUAAUCUGAUUCCCAAAUUUUAAGUUUUUCACUUCUAGCUUUGGACUAACCAAAAUCAUGACCCAGUCCAAGACUGUACAAAUCCCACGCAUAAGCUCGUGGCAGCUAUCUCACGCAUAAGCCCGUGGAGGCUAUUCUACGCAUAAGCUCGUAGAGGCUAUCCCACGCGUAAGCCCGUGGAGGCUAUCCCACGCAUCAGCUCGUGGCAGCUAUCCUACGCAUAAGCUCGUAGAGGCUAUC